RNAcentral lists this ribosomal RNA (79 nucleotides) under Actinomadura logoneensis. Lineage: Bacteria; Bacillati; Actinomycetota; Actinomycetes; Streptosporangiales; Thermomonosporaceae. RNAcentral also lists the same sequence under 1 other name. The record is from RNAcentral.
CCCGAACCCGGUAGUUAAGCCCCUCAGCGCCGAUGGUACUGCAUGGGAGACUGUGUGGGAGAGUAGGACGCCGCCGGAC